This 240-nucleotide ribosomal RNA is filed under the name uncultured bacterium. RNAcentral's name for it is "partial 16S ribosomal RNA". It matches the Rfam family "Bacterial small subunit ribosomal RNA", at positions 114 to 354 of the family's 1533-position model. The record is from RNAcentral.
CGCGUGGAUAACCUGCCUCAUACAGGGGGAUAACAGUUAGAAAUGACUGCUAAUACCGCAUAAGCGCACAAGAUCGCAUGAUCAUGUGUGAAAAACUCCGGUGGUAUGAGAUGGAUCCGCGUCUGGUUAGCCAGUUGGCGGGGUAACGGCCCACCAAAGCGACGAUCAGUAGCCGACCUGAGAGGGUGACCGGCCACAUUGGGACUGAGACACGGCCCAAACUCCUACGGAAGGCAGCAG